Molecule: long non-coding RNA, 569 nt
Organism: Dendrobium catenatum
Lineage: Eukaryota; Viridiplantae; Streptophyta; Magnoliopsida; Asparagales; Orchidaceae
Exons: 2
Source: RefSeq, a predicted model, not a curated record
UUCAGCCCAGCCCAAUUUGGCCGACCGACCUUUUACGUCUUCUCUUCUUUAGGUCACCCCGGUCCCGCGACUCGCGAGACUCGCGAAUCGCACUUAAGAACUCACCUUCCUCGUAACGCCGUCGUUGCUUUCAGAAGAAUCACUUUUGUGCGGCGACACCGGUUCUUGAUUUCUUUCUAGCCGGUAUUGCAAAUAUAUGGAGUUCAAACCCGUCGUAGCCCUGAGGGCCGUCCUUGUAGGCGGAGUUGCUGCAUUUGCCAAAGUGGCUAGUGUUGUGAAGGCUGCCGGUGGUGUAAAGGUGGGCGCAGCAGCUGCUGCUAUGACUGCUGCAGCAACAGCAGCUGUUUCGGGAACCAAGAACGAGGAAAAAGAUAAAUGAAGUUAUAAUUUUGGUGGAUCAAAAGCAUUUUUGUUUAUCUAUAAAAGAAUUUCUAGGCUUUUCAAUGUUAUGACAGAAGUUUCUGUCUUCGCGAAUUUAUUUGUUAUUCAUAUCAUAUGAGUGUAUAUCAACUUAUGCUACAUUUCAUUUAGCUACAGGAAAAUUCUCUACAAGCUAAAUUUUUUGGCCU